UAGGGAAUCUUCCGCAAUGGACGAAAGUCUGACGGAGCAACGCCGCGUGAGUGAAGAAGGAUUUCGGUUCGUAAAACUCUGUUGUUAGGGAAGAAAAAAUGUAUAGUAACUAUAUACAAAAGAGACGGUACCUAACCAGAAAGCCACGGCUAACUACGUGCCAGCAGCCGCGGUAAUACGUAGGUGGCAAGCGUUGUCCGGAAUUAUUGGGCGUAAAGCGCGCGCAGGUGGUUUAGAAAGUCUGAAGUGAAAGGCAGUGGCUCAACCAUUGUAGGCUUUGGAAACUGUUUAACUUGAGUGCAGAAGGGGAGAGUGGAAUUCCAUGUGUAGCGGUGAAAUGCGUAGAUAUAUGGAGGAACACCGGUGGCGAGAGCGGCUCUCUGGUCUGUAACUGACGCUGAGGCUCGAAAGCGUGGGGAGCGAACAGG
RNAcentral lists this ribosomal RNA (428 nucleotides) under Verrucomicrobiota bacterium. Its description in RNAcentral is "Verrucomicrobia bacterium partial 16S ribosomal RNA". It matches the Rfam family "Bacterial small subunit ribosomal RNA", at positions 355 to 776 of the family's 1533-position model. The record is from RNAcentral. Lineage: Bacteria; Pseudomonadati; Verrucomicrobiota.